RNAcentral lists this ribosomal RNA (492 nucleotides) under uncultured bacterium. RNAcentral describes it as "partial 16S ribosomal RNA". It matches the Rfam family "Bacterial small subunit ribosomal RNA", at positions 29 to 507 of the family's 1533-position model. The record is from RNAcentral.
AGUGAACGCUGGCGGUAGGCCUAACACAUGCAAAUCGAACGGCAGCACAGUAAGAGCUUGCUCUUACGGGUGGCGAGUGGCGGACGGGUGAGGAAUACAUCGGAAUCUACUUUUUCGUGGGGGAUAACGUAGGGAAACUUACGCUAAUACAGCAUACGACCUACGGGUGAAAGCAGGGGAUCUUCGGACCUUGCGCGAUUGAAUGAGCCGAUGUGGGAUUGGCUAGUUGGGGGGGUAAAGGCCCACCAAGGCGACGAUCCGUAGCUGGUCUGGGAGGAUGGUCAGCCACACGGGAACUGAGACACGGUCCAGACUCCUACGGGAGGCAGCAGUGGGGAAUAGUGGACAAUGGGCGCAAGCCUGAUCCAGCCAUACCGCGUGGGUGAAGAAGGCCUUCGGGUUGUAAAGCCCUUUUGUUGGGAAAGAAAAGCAGCAGGUUAAUACCCCGCUGUUCUGACGGUACCCAAAGAAUAAGCACCGGCUAACUUCGUG